Molecule: transfer RNA, 75 nt
Filed under: Iodidimonas muriae
Lineage: Bacteria; Pseudomonadati; Pseudomonadota; Alphaproteobacteria; Iodidimonadales; Iodidimonadaceae
Also listed under: 3 other names
Description: tRNA-Lys
Rfam family: tRNA
About the family: Transfer RNA (tRNA) molecules are approximately 80 nucleotides in length. Their secondary structure includes four short double-helical elements and three loops (D, anti-codon, and T loops). Further hydrogen bonds mediate the characteristic L-shaped molecular structure. tRNAs have two regions of fundamental functional importance: the anti-codon, which is responsible for specific mRNA codon recognition, and the 3' end, to which the tRNAs corresponding amino acid is attached (by aminoacyl-tRNA synthetases). tRNAs cope with the degeneracy of the genetic code in two manners: having more than one tRNA (with a specific anti-codon) for a particular amino acid; and 'wobble' base-pairing, i.e. permitting non-standard base-pairing at the 3rd anti-codon position.
Source: RNAcentral
GGGCCGUUAGCUCAGUGGUAGAGCAGCUGACUCUUAAUCAGCGGGUCCGGGGUUCGAACCCCCGACGGCCCUCCA